CAACAAUCAAAAGUUACAAGAUAUCGAGGAAAUGCAGAAGGCAAAAAACUGCGUAGGAGAUCAUUAAUACAAAAGUAUUAUAUAAACCAAACCUGAUGUUGCCAGCUCCUUCAAUGAAUGCAGCAGUGUGACAGCCAGCAAUCAAAAGUAACAAGAUGUCGAGGAAAUGCAGAAGGCAAAAAACUGCGUAGGAGAUCAUUCAUCAUCAUCAUCAGCCCAUUAACGUCCCCACUGCUGGGGCACGGGCCUUCCCUAUGGAUGGAUAGGGAGAUCGGGCCUUAAACCAUCACGCGGGCCCAGUGCGGAUUGAUGGUUAUUAACGACUGCUAAUGCAGCCGGGACCAACGGCUUAACGUGCCUUCCGAAGCACGGAGGAGCUCGAGAUGAAAACUUUUUUUUUGUGGUCACCCAUCCAAUGACCGGCCUUUGCGAAAGUUGCUUUACUUCAACAAUCGCAGACCGAGCGCGUUAACCGCUGCGCCACCGAGCUCCACAUCAUCAUUAAUACAAUAGUAUUAUAUAAACCAAGCCUGAUGUUGGCCGCUCAUUCAAAGAAUGCAGCAGUGUGACAGCCAGCAAUCAAAAGUAACAAGAUGUCGAGAAAAUGCAGAGUGUAAUAAACUGUGUAGGAGAUUAUGAUUGCAAUAGAAUAAAAUCGACCAAGCCUGAAGUCCUUCAAUGCACGCAGCAGUGUGACAGCCAGCAAUCAAAAGUUACAAGAUAUCGAGGAAAUGCAGAAGGCAAAAAACUGCGUAGGAGAUUAUUAAUACAAUAGUAUUAUAUCAACCAAGCCUGAUGUCGGUAGCUUCUUCAAUGAAUGCAGCAGUGUGAGAGCCAGCAAUCAAUAGUGACAAGAAUCUAGGAAAUACAGAAGGCAAAGAAGCAGAUGUCAUCAAAGAAGAUCUUUGUUCCUGCAAUGUUUCCGCAGACGAUACAUCCAACAGAGCGAAGUGGAAGGAAAAGACUCGGAAAAAAGACCCCACCACCAUAUGGGAACAAUGCAAGGGAGAG
This 1011-nucleotide long non-coding RNA is filed under the name Pectinophora gossypiella (pink bollworm). RNAcentral's name for it is "uncharacterized LOC126381082". The record is from RNAcentral. Lineage: Eukaryota; Metazoa; Arthropoda; Insecta; Lepidoptera; Gelechiidae.